RNAcentral lists this ribosomal RNA (451 nucleotides) under uncultured bacterium. Its description in RNAcentral is "partial 16S ribosomal RNA". It matches the Rfam family "Bacterial small subunit ribosomal RNA", at positions 28 to 507 of the family's 1533-position model. The record is from RNAcentral.
GAUGAACGCUGGCGGCGUGCCUAACACAUGCAAGUCGAGCGGCAGCGCGGGGUGCUUGCACCCUGUCGGCGAGCGGCGGACGGCUGAGUAGCGCGUGGGAACGUGCCCCAAAGUGAGGAAUAACUGCCCGAAAGGGUAGCUAAUACCGCAUAUUAUCUUCGGAUCAAAGGAUUUAUCCGCUUUGGGAGCGGCUCGCGUCGGAUUAGGUAGUUGGUGAGGUAAUGGCUCACCAAGCCGACGAUCCGUAGCUGGUCUGAGAGGAUGACCAGCCAGACUGGAACUGAGACACGGUCCAGACUCCUACGGGAGGCAGCAGUGAGGAAUCUUCCACAAUGGGCGAAAGCCUGAUGGAGCAACGCCGCGUGCAGGACGAAGGCCUUCGGGUUGUAAACUGCUUUUAUAAGUGAGGAAUAUGACGGUAACUGAUGAAUAAGGAUCGGCUAACUACGUG